CAGUAGCCGCGGUAAUACGAAGGGUGCAAGCGUUAAUCGGAAUUACUGGGCGUAAAGCGUGCGCAGGCGGUUAUAUAAGACAGAUGUGAAAUCCCCGGGCUCAACCUGGGAACUGCAUUUGUGACUGUAUAGCUAGAGUACGGCAGAGGGGGAUGGAAUUCCGCGUGUAGCAGUGAAAUGCGUAGAUAUGCGGAGGAACACCGAUGGCGAAGGCAAUCCCCUGGGCCUGUACUGACGCUCAUGCACGAAAGCGUGGGGAGCAAACAGGAUUAGAUACCCCGGUAGUCCCUGUCUCUUAUAU
RNAcentral lists this ribosomal RNA (301 nucleotides) under uncultured bacterium. RNAcentral's name for it is "partial 16S ribosomal RNA". It matches the Rfam family "Bacterial small subunit ribosomal RNA", at positions 509 to 809 of the family's 1533-position model. The record is from RNAcentral.